RNAcentral lists this ribosomal RNA (706 nucleotides) under uncultured Actinomycetales bacterium. RNAcentral's name for it is "bacterial SSU rRNA". It matches the Rfam family "Bacterial small subunit ribosomal RNA", at positions 62 to 780 of the family's 1533-position model. Lineage: Bacteria; Bacillati; Actinomycetota; Actinomycetes; Actinomycetales. The record is from RNAcentral.
UCGAACGGAAAGGCCCUGCUUGCAGGGUACUCGAGUGGCGAACGGGUGAGUAACACGUGGGUGAUCUGCCCUGCACUUCGGGAUAAGCCUGGGAAACUGGGUCUAAUACCGGAUAGGAGCCAUUUUUAGUGUGAUGGUUGGAAAGUUUUUUCGGUGUAGGAUGAGCUCGCGGCCUAUCAGCUUGUUGGUGGGGUAAUGGCCUACCAAGGCGGCGACGGGUAGCCGGCCUGAGAGGGUGGACGGCCACAUUGGGACUGAGAUACGGCCCAGACUCCUACGGGAGGCAGCAGUGGGGAAUAUUGCACAAUGGGCGCAAGCCUGAUGCAGCGACGCCGCGUGGGGGAUGACGGCCUUCGGGUUGUAAACUCCUUUCGCUAGGGACGAAGCUUUUUGUGACGGUACCUAGAUAAGAAGCACCGGCUAACUACGCGCCAGCAGCCGCGGUAAUACGUAGGGUGCGAGGCGUUGUCCGGAAUUACUGGGCGUAAAGGGCUCGUAGGUGGUUUGUCGCGUCGUCUGUGAAAUUCCGGGGCUUAACUCCGGGCGUGCAGGCGAUACGGGCAUAACUUGAGUACUGUAGGGGUAACUGGAAUUCCUGGUGUAGCGGUGAAAUGCGCAGAUAUCAGGAGGAACACCGAUGGCGAAGGCAGGUUACUGGGCAGUUACUGACGCUGAGGAGCGAAAGCAUGGGUAGCGAACAGGAUUA